CCUGAUGGAGGGGGAUAACUACUGGAAACGGUAGCUAAUACCGCAUAACGUCGCAAGACCAAAGAGGGGGACCUUCGGGCCUCUUGCCAUCAGAUGUGCCCAGAUGGGAUUAGCUAGUAGGUGGGGUAACGGCUCACCUAGGCGACGAUCCCUAGCUGGUCUGAGAGGAUGACCAGCCACACUGGAACUGAGAUACGGUCCAGACUCCUACGGGAGGCAGCAGUGGGGAAUAUUGCACAAUGGGCGCAAGCCUGAUGCAGCCAUGCCGCGUGUAUGAAGAAGGCCUUCGGGUUGUAAAGUACUUUCAGCGGGGAGGAAGGCGAUAAGGUUAAUAACCUUGUCGAUUGACGUUACCCGCAGAAGAAGCACCGGCUAACUCCGUGCCAGCAGCCGCGGUAAU
RNAcentral lists this ribosomal RNA (400 nucleotides) under uncultured bacterium. Its description in RNAcentral is "bacterial SSU rRNA". It matches the Rfam family "Bacterial small subunit ribosomal RNA", at positions 129 to 524 of the family's 1533-position model. The record is from RNAcentral.